GCUGGGUAUGGUGGUGCAUGCCUGUAAUCCCAGCACCUCUGGAGGCCAAGGCAGGAGGAUCACAAGUUCCAAGCCAGCCUCAGCAACAACUAGGUGCUAAGCAACUCAGUGAGACCCUGUCUCUA
This 125-nucleotide small RNA is filed under the name Marmota monax (woodchuck). Lineage: Eukaryota; Metazoa; Chordata; Mammalia; Rodentia; Sciuridae. The record is from RNAcentral.